AUCACUUAGGAACCUUGUUGAAAUGCAGGUUCUGAUUCAGUAGGUCUAGAAUGGGACCCAAGAUUCUGCAUCUUUAACAAGUUCCAGGUGAUGCCGA
This is a non-coding RNA of Bos taurus (domestic cattle), 97 nucleotides long. NCBI's taxonomy places the organism in Eukaryota, Metazoa, Chordata, Mammalia, Artiodactyla, Bovidae. The record is from Rfam.